GUGGGUAGAGCUCAGUGGUAGAGCGCGUGCUUAGCAUGCACGAGGUCCUGGGUUCAAUCCCCAGUGCCUCCA
This 72-nucleotide transfer RNA is filed under the name Camelus ferus (Wild Bactrian camel). It matches the Rfam family "tRNA". From Rfam's summary of the family: Transfer RNA (tRNA) molecules are approximately 80 nucleotides in length. Their secondary structure includes four short double-helical elements and three loops (D, anti-codon, and T loops). The record is from Rfam by way of RNAcentral. Lineage: Eukaryota; Metazoa; Chordata; Mammalia; Artiodactyla; Camelidae.